CUCGGAGCGACGUAAUUUUGAAAUCGAUUCAUUUUCCGCGCUCCGGUACGUGCAAAAAAAUAAAAAAAUAUAGUAGAUGCCUUGAAAGAAAAAGAGUAAAGAGAAAGAGAGAGAAAGAGAGUGAGCGUAAGCUAUCGCAAUCGCGAGGAAGUCAGGAAGUAUGUACGCAGAACACCGGCUGGUGUCAGAUGUCAGAUGUCAAUUAUGCUCGCUUGAACUCUCGCGACACAGGAAACACAUCCGAGAAGAAGACAAAAAAAAAGAAAGAAAUCGACUCGUUAAUAUUAGGCUCGUGUGCACGAUACUAUUGCAGUAUCACGGACGUUAAUUUUAGACACUGCCGUACGUACUUACGUGCCUUACAUACAAUGUUUCUAUCGCGAUAUCGUUACUAAUUAGUUAAUAAUUGACUCAUUACGUUCUUUAUCGUACGAGUCCAAGUACGUGUGUGUACCGAUAUAUCUAUAUUUCUGUUAUGUGCACAAGACUCAGUGUAACAUGAAAAAAGUUGAGAAAAAUAUAAAACAUCGUCUCCUUUAUUUA
This is a long non-coding RNA of Wasmannia auropunctata (little fire ant), 543 nucleotides long. RefSeq lists it as uncharacterized. The record is from RefSeq and is a predicted model, not a curated record. Lineage: Eukaryota; Metazoa; Arthropoda; Insecta; Hymenoptera; Formicidae. The transcript has 2 exons.